GAUCAUAAGAGUUUGCGAUAUCAAUUAACAUUCUACUCACUUUCCGUUUAGAUAGUUAGUCAAGCCCUGCUUGAAAACUUCUGUCGUGAGGAAGUGGUCCAUCAUUCUUAUUAUGGAAGCACCUGAAGAAUUCCGAAUAGCGCGUGGCAUGAUCCGUCCGGUACCUUUUCCAUACGAAAUCUUGUCAAAGAUCUCGCUGAUCUCGUCAGGAUGGCCGACCACGAUAGAUAUAGGAUGAGAGGACUCCAAAGCGUCCAGGGCAAACACAUUUUGCAGAUCGUGAACGACGAAUUGUUCCAGGACCUUCCACGUCGGUUCUACCUGUAAUCGCAGGUGCAUGCAACAUUCUUACCUGUAAGUUAUCAGGCCCCAGUUUUCCAUGGCGCCCGCGGAGAAGUCUGGCAAAGCGAUCAUAUCCAUCUUCGGCAGAGGAAACUUAAUCUUGAAG
Molecule: long non-coding RNA, 448 nt
Organism: Ooceraea biroi (clonal raider ant)
Lineage: Eukaryota; Metazoa; Arthropoda; Insecta; Hymenoptera; Formicidae
Source: RefSeq, a predicted model, not a curated record